This 484-nucleotide ribosomal RNA is filed under the name uncultured bacterium. RNAcentral's name for it is "partial 16S ribosomal RNA". It matches the Rfam family "Bacterial small subunit ribosomal RNA", at positions 30 to 507 of the family's 1533-position model. The record is from RNAcentral.
AUUGAACGCUGGCGGCAGGCCUAACACAUGCAAGUCGAGCGGAUGAAGGGAGCUUGCUCCUGGAUUCAGCGGCGGACGGGUGAGUAAUGCCUAGGAAUCUGCCUGGUAGUGGGGGAUAACGUCCGGAAACGGGCGCUAAUACCGCAUACGUCCUGAGGGAGAAAGUGGGGGAUCUUCGGACCUCACGCUAUCAGAUGAGCCUAGGUCGGAUUAGCUAGUUGGUGGGGUAAAGGCCUACCAAGGCGACGAUCCGUAACUGGUCUGAGAGGAUGAUCAGUCACACUGGAACGGAGACACGGCCCAGACUCCUACGGGAGGCAGCAGUGGGGAAUAUUGGACAAUGGGCGAAAGCCUGAUCCAGCCAUGCCGCGUGUGUGAAGAAGGUCUUCGGAUUGUAAAGCACUUUUAGUUGGGAGGAAGGGCAGUAAGUGAAUACCUUGCUGUUUUGACGUUACCAACAGAAUAAGCACCGGCUAACUUCGUG